RNAcentral lists this ribosomal RNA (453 nucleotides) under uncultured bacterium. RNAcentral describes it as "partial 16S ribosomal RNA". It matches the Rfam family "Bacterial small subunit ribosomal RNA", at positions 29 to 507 of the family's 1533-position model. The record is from RNAcentral.
AUGCACGCUGCCAGACUGCUUCACACAUGCAAGUCACCUUGAACUUCGGUUUGGGUGGCGGACGGGUGAGUAACGCGUAAAGAACUUGCCUCACAGUUAGGGACAACAUUUGGAAACGAAUGCUAAUACCUGAUAUUAUGAUUUUAGGGCAUCCUAGAAUUAUGAAAGCUAUAUGCGCUGUGAGAGAGCUUUGCGUCCCAUUAGCUAGUUGGAGAGGUAACGGCUCACCAAGGCGAUGAUGGGUAGCCGGCCUGAGAGGGUGAACGGCCACAAGGGGACUGAGACACGGCCCUUACUCCUACGGGAGGCAGCAGUGGGGAAUAUUGGACAAUGGACCAAGAGUCUGAUCCAGCAAUUCUGUGUGCACGAUGAAGUUUUUCGGAAUGUAAAGUGCUUUCAGUUGGGAAGAAAAAAAUGACGGUACCAACAGAAGAAGUGACGGCUAAAUACGUG